GCUGAGGUCGCAUAACUCGGUAUUGCGCAGCACUGCUAAUGCUGUUCCCUUCGGAAUUGCGGGUUCAAAUCCCGUCCUCAGCG
This 83-nucleotide transfer RNA is filed under the name Nanobdellota archaeon. RNAcentral describes it as "tRNA-Ser". It matches the Rfam family "tRNA". From Rfam's summary of the family: Transfer RNA (tRNA) molecules are approximately 80 nucleotides in length. Their secondary structure includes four short double-helical elements and three loops (D, anti-codon, and T loops). The record is from RNAcentral. Lineage: Archaea; Nanobdellati; Nanobdellota.